AACGAACGCUGGCGGCAGGCUUAACACAUGCAAGUCGAGCGCCUCGCAAGAGGAGCGGCAGACGGGUGAGUAACGCGUGGGAACGUACCCUUAUCUUCGGAAUAGCUCUGGGAAACUGGAAGUAAUACCGAAUGUGCCCUUAGGGGGAAAGAUUUAUCGGAUAAGGAUCGGCCCGCGUUGGGUUAGCUAGUUGGUGGGGUAAAGGCCUACCAAGGCGACGAUCCAUAGCUGGUCUGAGAGGAUGAUCAGCCACAUUGGGACUGAGACACGGCCCAAACUCCCACGGGGGGCGGGAGGGGGGAAUAUUGGAAAAGGGGCGAAAGCCUGACCCAGCCAGGCCGGGGGAGUGAUGAAGGCCUUAGGGUUGUAAAGCUCUUUCACCGGAGAAGAUAAUGAGGGUAUCCGGAGAAGAAGCCCCGGCUAAUUUCGU
Molecule: ribosomal RNA, 430 nt
Filed under: uncultured bacterium
Lineage: Bacteria
Description: partial 16S ribosomal RNA
Rfam family: Bacterial small subunit ribosomal RNA
Source: RNAcentral